GAAGAGGACGUGUCGGAUACCGAUUGGAGGAUCGGGAAGGAAGCAGAGAUAUAAAAGGGGCUGGUUUAUGAACAGGGGAGUCGGUUCCGCUGUUGUUCCACAUGAUACGGAAGUUGCUGGUGUGGCGUGGAUGUUGUGAUUUACGGGCUGCAACGGAGAAUCCAAGGAAAGGGGAGAUUGGAAGUGCGGAGGAAGUUAAGUGAUCAACCUUUUGUAUGUUGUGUUUACAUCUUAUUGUGGAUUGAACUGAAGGAGCGAUCCUAUGUUUGGAAGGCCCCUGAGUGAAGGAGAUCAUUGAAUUCGUAUUGGGAGAGGACAACACUGUGUACUGUGUUGAUAGUCGUGCCUUGCGUUGGAGAUCGCUGGGAAAGACGGAGAGACUCCGGUGUAUGAUAUAUAUACGCCUGCUGUGGUCUGCCCCCUGCCUUCGUCCAUCUGACACGCCCCGCCAGGACUCUGAGCCCGAAACGGGACUACACCACGGAUCUUCUUUCACUGAGUGUGUGGAGUGCGGUGAGUGCUCCUAUAUUGAAGUGUACACACGAGGAGAAUUGUAGUGCCUUUGUGGUGUGUGGUGUUUGUCCGUGGUUGUGUCCCCGGUCGUAGGAAGAGGCCUGACAGAGAGGAGCAGUGUAUUGGUGGCAACCAUAGUCUUUACCUUAAGUAAGCUGGAGCUUGGAUGUGUUGGAGGCGCCUCUGGAGGAGCAACCACCGGCCUUGUGCGUGUCGUCUGUGCUGUCUCUUUGACGAGGGAAGCGAAGGACAACAGCCGAUCCUCCCCCGUGUGCCCCCUUGCCAAGCUGGGCGGGAAGCCCAGUAUUG
Long non-coding RNA from Cyprinus carpio (common carp), 822 nucleotides. RefSeq lists it as uncharacterized. The record is from RefSeq and is a predicted model, not a curated record. NCBI's taxonomy places the organism in Eukaryota, Metazoa, Chordata, Actinopteri, Cypriniformes, Cyprinidae. The transcript has 3 exons.